This 253-nucleotide ribosomal RNA is filed under the name uncultured bacterium. Its description in RNAcentral is "partial 16S ribosomal RNA". It matches the Rfam family "Bacterial small subunit ribosomal RNA", at positions 524 to 776 of the family's 1533-position model. The record is from RNAcentral.
UACGGAGGGUGCGAGCGUUGUCCGGAAUUACUGGGCGUAAAGGGCUUGUAGGUGGUUUGUCGCGUUGUUCGUGAAAUGCCACAGCUUAACUGUGGGCGUGCGGGCGAUACGGGCAGACUAGAGUACUGCAGGGGAGACUGGAAUUCCUGGUGUAGCGGUGGAAUGCGCAGAUAUCAGGAGGAACACCGGUGGCGAAGGCGGGUCUCUGGGCAGUAACUGACGCUGAGAAGCGAAAGCGUGGGGAGCAAACAGG